UUAAGUUCAGCGGGUAUUCCUACCUGAUCCGAGGUCAACCUUUGGUAUGUAGGGGGUUUUACGGCAGGCGCCCGCCGCGCUCCCGGAGCGAGAAGUAUGCUACUACGCUCGGUGCGACAGCGAGCCCGCCACUGGAUUCAGGGCCUGCGGGCAGCCGCAGGUCCCCAACACAAGCCUGGGGCUUGAUGGUUGAAAUGACG
RNAcentral lists this unclassified non-coding RNA (200 nucleotides) under uncultured fungus. RNAcentral describes it as "sequence contains ITS2". Lineage: Eukaryota; Fungi. The record is from RNAcentral.